RNAcentral lists this long non-coding RNA (2343 nucleotides) under Ananas comosus (pineapple). Its description in RNAcentral is "long non-coding RNA (ACOM_LNC027848)". The record is from RNAcentral. Lineage: Eukaryota; Viridiplantae; Streptophyta; Magnoliopsida; Poales; Bromeliaceae.
GACUCUGUCACAGCCCGCGACCACCCGCCUAUUUGGCCGAGGUCGCGGCGCCGACAGUGCCGAACGGACAGGGUUUCCCCUGUACUACGGACAGAGUCUCCCCUGUACGUUCAAGGCAACGCAAUCAAUACAAUACGAGGGUUCCAACCAGGAACUGAUAUCAAUCAAGAUUGCAUAAUGGAAGGUAUCAAACAACAUAAACACAUCCUAAGUUAUUACAUUCAUUCACAUUCACGCAUUUUACAUCUCAAUUCUCAAUUGCUUUAACUUCCAAAUACAAUCUAAGUAGUACAUCGUUUACUUAUUACAAUUUGAUACAUUCGCUUUCUUUUCAUUUCCUUUACCCCUAAGCUUUGUAGACGGGUACUGCUAGCUCUGGUCUCCGGGGUAGGGCGCUAUCUACGGAGCUACGCCCUUUCCUCACGCCGCCGCGCUGCUCACGUACGAACCUGUAAAACCCCAAAACAACGUGGGGUGAGAACCAACUCCAUGGUUCCUAGUGGGUACGGCCACCCAAGGGAAAAGCUCGACCGACAGGUUCAAAGGAGGCAACUGCAGGUUAGUUUAAUAAACAGAUAGAUAGAUAUUUUGACUAUGCAAUUAAUAGAACCAUACCUUGCCUCGCAAUUGUAACAAUGCUAUGCAAUAUGCAAUACCUGUAAAUCAUGCAAGUAGAUUACUUGAUCUACUUUAUAUCAUUAACCAUACUUUACUUGUAGCCGUUCUUUUCUUUAUUAGCUAUUCACGUUCGUUAGUUAUUCUUUAUUCUUUACUCUUUGUCUUAUUGUGCUCACUGGCGAUUCUUUCCUAAGGUUAUUUUACCUUAGCCAUCUAUGCCACUCGACUCGGUCUCGAGUCAAUCAACUGCGGAUAGUCCGCACUCUGUCCGGCUCAAGGUGAAGGACCUCUCACUUACACCUCAGCCUUCAGUCUACAAACAUCUCCCCAACGGGUCGCCCAGAGCUGCGUACACCCGUGGUUAGGGAUCUUUCCGGUGGGAAGGGGAUUAUACCACAAACUCAACCCGCGGCCUAAGACCCCCGAUAGGGAAGGGGACAUGCCACACUCAACCCUAGCAAAGCACGAUUCUGCCGACGGGAGGGGGAACCUGCCACACUCGACCCGCGGCCUCGAAUCAGCCUCAAGCUCAUCCUCGAAGUUCGUCCAGUGGGAGGGGACCCUGUCACACUCAACCCACUGCUCUAGAACUGUCGAGUUCACAAUCCUAAGAUUCCGGAAUCUAUUUCCCAAGCCUCUAGGGUAAUCUCAAACCCUAUGAUAUCGACCUAUCUAGGUCCAAUGCACUUUCCAUCCUAGGUCUACCCGACUCUAGGUUUAACGCCCUUAUAACAUAACCAAUGUUCUUUAAACUAGGUUAAUACCUCUCUACCUAGGUUUUUAUUAACCCUAGGUUCAACAACACUAGAAUCAAUGUCAACCUAUGUUCAUGACGCUAGGUUAAUGCCACUCGAUCUAGCCUAGGUUCACGACACUAGGUUCAACAUCAAUCUUAUUCAUCCUAGGUUCUUGACCCUAGGUUCAUAUUCGACCUAUGUUAAUUACACUAGGUUCGGCGCCACUCGAUCUAGUUGGCCCUACUUGUCCACAUCGAGUUUCUAUAAUCAUAUAUACUCUAGCAUGCAUUCUAUGAUGCCGACAUGCAUCUACAUUUAACAUAGCCUACAUUAUCAUCGUGCAUGUUAUACAUGUAUAGCUUUUCUCAUCAUGUUAAUAAGCAUUAUCCUCUCGCAUGCAUUUUCAUAAGGUCAAUAUGCUCUUGUCAUCUAACUUGUAUUCACAUGAUGCACUUAUGCAUUUUAUCCAACCGCACUUACAUGCUCUAUUAUGAGUUGACAUGAACUAGCACUUGCAUAUAAUUCCAACGCAUCAACAUGCCAUUAGCAACUAGCAUAAUUACUAUCAUUUAGUACAUGCAUCUUAACUAACAUGCUCACAUAAUGUUACAUGCACCUAGCAUACAUUCCAAUGCACAAAUAUAUCGCUUGUAUCUAGUUACUAGCAUAUACUUCCCAAUGCAUUAUUAUGCAAUCAUCACUAAACAUUACCCAACAUGAUCUCAUAACUCAUAAGGUUAACAAUAGGUUAACAUUCAUUUAUAUGCUCAUGUUCUCUAAUACAUGUCAACAUGAAUCUCAUAAUGCUAAAUGCCCCAAGCAUGUAUUUCACUAAGCAUACAUACUAAUAUGCAAAUUACCAACUAGCAUGCAUUUAUACAAUGCAAAUAUGCCCGUAUGCACAUACAUAUAUGCAUCAACCAAAAAUCCAUAUUUCGCUUUGACAUGUGGGGCGACCAAGUCGCUUCGGUAAGCACAACCCACCUUA